This is a non-coding RNA of Arachis ipaensis, 285 nucleotides long. The record is from RefSeq and is a predicted model, not a curated record. Lineage: Eukaryota; Viridiplantae; Streptophyta; Magnoliopsida; Fabales; Fabaceae.
CAGAUUCUGAUUCAGAAUCUGAAUCUGAACCAAGUGAUGAGAGCGAAGAAUCAUCACCUGCAGAGAAGGAGAAGAAAAAGAAAAAAACAAAAACAACACCAAAAAAAACACAACCAAAAAAGAAAAAAGUUGUUGUGGAGGAUUCACCUCCUAAAGAAGAUCAAUACUUUGACGGUGAGACAUAUGAAAUAUCAAGUGACGAACUAGAUGAAUGGCUAAGGGAAAAUGUUGAUAAAUCUGCUGCAGAGGGGGAGAACCAAGCUGACCUGCGAUCGACAGAAGGUC